Molecule: non-coding RNA, 3115 nt
Organism: Solanum lycopersicum (tomato)
Lineage: Eukaryota; Viridiplantae; Streptophyta; Magnoliopsida; Solanales; Solanaceae
Source: RefSeq, a predicted model, not a curated record
ACUAUUUCUCUCCCUUAUAAAAUACUUUUCCCGCUUCUCAACUUCUCAGUUCCCUCUUCUCUCUGUUUCUAGAUAAACUGAAAUAAUUGCUGCUGAGUGUUUGACCUCUUUCUCGCCGGAGAAUCGGAAGCACUUCGUUUUCCGUUGUUCACACAGCAGAAGUUUUCAAUGCGGUGAAACAAGAACAAAUGGAUGUAGUUACUGAAAAAGAGUGGGAGUAUCGUGCAUUGAAGGCAAGGAUAGAAGAAAGGAAAAAAGACCGCAAGAAGAAACAAGAGGACAGACCAACUUUAAUGUGGGAAACUUGGGAAGAAACAUAUGACAAAUGGCUUGUGAAACACUUCGCAGAUGAUUUGGAUAAUCAGAAUGAGUUAUUGUGUGAAACGGUGGAGCCAUCAUCAGAUAUGAUUGUGCCAUUGUUCAGGUACCAGAAGGAGUGGUUGUUUUGGGCUCUUAAGCAAGAAGAAUCUUCAUCCAAAGGGGGUAUUCUUGCUGAUGAGAUGGGAAUGGGGAAGACUAUCCAAGCGAUAGCACUUGUGCUUGCUAAAAGGGAAUUAGGGAAAACAAUUAGCAAACCUAGUUUAUUGUCAUCUUCAUCCAGUACUAAUAAGCAGGAACCCUCAGCAGUAAAAGGCACUCUUAUCUUAUGCCCUAUGGUUGCUGUCCUUCAGUGGGUUACUGAGAUCAAUCGAUGCACCAUUGAAGGUAGCAACAAAAUUCUUGUGUAUCAUGGUUCUAACAGAAGGAAACUUAGCCGCGAUAUUGAAGAAUAUGAUUUUGUCAUCACCACAUACUCCACUGUUGAGGCUGAAUAUAGGAAAUUUGUCAUGCAGCCAAAACAAAAGUGCGAGUGGUGUGGCAAAGCAUAUUAUGAAGAAAAGUUGCCCAUUCACCAGAAGAGUUUUUGUGGACCAGAUGGUGUUAAAACUGCCAAGCAGUCAAAGAAGCAGAGGAAAAAGUUAAAACUUGACGAGGAAUUGUUGAUGCAGAAAACAGAUUCUACUGAGUCAGAGACUUAUUUGCAGAUAACAGAUUUUAUGGAGUCAGAGACGAAUGUGCAGGAAGAAGGUUCUACCGCAGAGACUGAUAUGAAGAAAACGGGUCGUAGAAAGUACAUGAAGCGUAGUAGCAUGGCAGAAGAAGGAAAAAAUGAUGGUUCUAUGGAUACUUCAUCCAGUGUAAAUCAAGAUUUGCCACAGAGGAAGUCAAUUUUGCAUUCAGUGAAGUGGGAUCGCAUCAUCUUGGAUGAGGCUCAUUAUGUAAAAGAUAGGCGCUGCAACACGACAAAAGCUACUCUUAGUUUGAAAUCUUCUUAUAAGUGGGCCUUAAGUGGUACUCCGAUUCAGAAUCUUGUUGGAGAAUUAUAUUCACUUGUCCGUUUCCUACAAAUAGUACCCUACUCUUUUUACUUUUGCAAGGACUGUGAUUGCAGAACACUUGACUACAGCUCUACAUCCGAGUGCCCACAAUGCCCCCACAAAUCAGUACGGCACUUUUGCUUUUGGAACAGAUACAUUGCUACACCUAUAAAACGUGAAGGAAGCUAUGGGAGUGGUAGAGAUGCGAUGUUCCUUUUGAAGCAUAAAAUUCUAAAAAGCAUCCUACUAAGGCGUAGUAAAAAGGGAAGAGCUGCUGAUCUUGCUCUUCCUCUUAAAAUUGUUACUUUGAGAAAAGAUUCUUUGGAUGUCAUAGAAGAAGACUACUACACGUCAUUGUACAAUAAAAGUCAGGCACAGUUUAAUACUUAUGUUAAAGGUGGAACAGUGAUGAACAACUAUGCACACAUUUUUGAGCUGCUUACACGCCUACGGCAGGCAGUUGAUCAUCCUUAUCUUGUGGUGUACUCGAGUACUGCUUUGGCUAAAAUGGCAAACUCUGGAAAUGUUGAGCAACCUUGUGGCUUAUGUCAUGAUGCAGUAGAAGAUCCAGCUGUUACUUCUUGCAUGCAUGUCUUUUGCAAGACGUGUUUGAUAGACUUUGCUGCAAGUGCUAGACAAGUGCCAUGCCCUCUGUGUUCUGAACUACUUACAAUUGACUUCACUGUAAAUACUGAUAAGGUGGAUCAGAAUUCUAAACAGACUCUCAAAGGGUUUAGAUCCUCAAGUAUACUGAACAGAAUUCAGCUAGACGAUUUCCAGUCCAGCACUAAAAUAGAUGCUUUGAGGGAAGAAAUUAGGUUCAUGAUUGAAAGAGAUGGUUCUGCAAAAGGAAUAGUUUUCAGCCAGUUCACAUCGUUUUUGGAUUUGAUACACUAUUCUCUUCAGAAGUCGGGCAUCAAUUGUGUUCAAUUAGUCGGAUCUAUGUCUAUUGAUGCAAGAGCUGCAGCAGUUACCAAAUUUACUGAGGAUUCAGAUUGCAGGAUAUUUCUUAUGAGCUUAAAAGCUGGAAGUGUUGCACUCAAUCUUACUGUUGCAUCACAGGUUUUCAUGAUGGAUCCUUGGUGGAAUCCUGCUGUGGAGCGCCAAGCACAAGACCGAAUUCAUCGAAUAGGGCAAUAUAAACCUGUCAGGAUUGUGAGAUUUGUGAUUGAAAAUACAGUUGAAGAGAAGAUCUUAAAGUUACAGGAGAAGAAGGAACUUGUUUUUGAAGGUAGAGUAAUUAUGAGAGAUGGCACUCAUCAGUUUAAUUCUAACUAGAGAAGGCCAUCUCAAAGUGGCUGGAAGCUGCCCCACUUUCUUCCUUGCUCUAGGGUGGAGGACAAUUGGUGGCUCUUCAGAGGCCUUUGCAAAGUUAACUGAAGCAGACUUGAAAUUCUUGUUUACAACUUAAAUUGGUUGAUAUUUUGCUUUUCAGUUCAAGAAGCAGAUUCACUUGUAUUUUUUGCUUUUAGAACAAAGUUCUUUUAUAGACUAGUAUAUAUACUUCUGAAUUUAGCCAUUUCCCUUUUGGAUUGUCCAGGAAAUGUCGCUUUUGCAUCACCAUCAUAGCUUAUGAUCUGUGUAUCACCAUCAUAGCUUAUGAUCUGGGCAGAGUAUCUGUGUAGUUCUCUUUUCAGCACAAUCAAAUUUCUGAUUUCUUGGCACUGUUCAUUUCUAGUAAUGUAAUAUUUUGACGAGAUGGGUCUUUCAAGUUACAUUUUGGGGAAGUUAUAAGCAUCUACAUAUUUGUAGAUAAA